UACGUAGGGGGCAAGCGUUGUCCGGAAUCAUUGGGCGUAAAGCGCACGUAGGCGGCUUUGUAAGUUAGAGGUGAAAGCCUGGAGCUCAACUCCAGAAUUGCCUUUAAGACUGCAUCGCUCGAAUCCAGGAGAGGUGAGUGGAAUUCCGAGUGUAGAGGUGAAAUUCGUAGAUAUUCGGAAGAACACCAGUGGCGAAGGCGGCUCACUGGACUGGUAUUGACGCUGAGGUGCGAAAGCGUGGGGAGCAAACAGG
RNAcentral lists this ribosomal RNA (253 nucleotides) under uncultured bacterium. Its description in RNAcentral is "partial 16S ribosomal RNA". It matches the Rfam family "Bacterial small subunit ribosomal RNA", at positions 524 to 776 of the family's 1533-position model. The record is from RNAcentral.